CGGCGCGCGGCGGCCCGGCUGCCGCGGCGCCCGUGGCGCGCCGGCGAGCGCCGGCGCACGGACGUUCAACCCGCCUUCGCGCGCCGU
Molecule: transfer RNA, 87 nt
Filed under: Anaeromyxobacter sp. PSR-1
Lineage: Bacteria; Pseudomonadati; Myxococcota; Myxococcia; Myxococcales; Anaeromyxobacteraceae
Description: tRNA-His
Source: RNAcentral